Acyrthosiphon pisum (pea aphid) is the source of this 1054-nucleotide long non-coding RNA. RefSeq lists it as uncharacterized. The record is from RefSeq and is a predicted model, not a curated record. The transcript has 5 exons. Lineage: Eukaryota; Metazoa; Arthropoda; Insecta; Hemiptera; Aphididae.
AUAAAUUAUCACAAAAAUAAUUUUUUAUAAACUGCUAACAGUCUAAAUAAAUUGUUCUUCAUACUUUUUUGUAGCUGAAAUAUCUCCAUUUGUAAUUCAUAUUCAAUUCUAUGCUCUUAGAGAGGUAUAGAGUUUUAACUUUUCUGCGUCAAUUAGAUGUUUAGAAAAGAACAAAUUUAAGAAUACUAUGUUCCAGCCACACGCUAUCUACACUAUCUACAUGCUACCUAUACUAUUCCUUGAUAGAAAAAAUGAAAAGAUAAUUGCGAUGUGAGUGCGUCUUCAGACCUGUUGACUAGUGACAAGAUUUGAAUCUUUACUUAUUCAACUAAGACAGUGUCUUGUGGCUCAAAUACUUCACUAUAAAUUACUGAUGAUCCUGGUUGUUCAAAAUCAUGCACUACUGAAACUUAUAGUAAUAAUGAAAUAUUUGCUCUUCAAUUACCUGGUUCUUCAAAAGGUAAUCAAACUCUUACAGUUUGGUCUGGAGUAAUACCCAGAAAAGUUUUGUCACGGCAUCAAUUGAAAAACAAGAAAGAAGCUUGUCUUAAAGCUAGAAAAAACUUUCUGGGCCUGAACAACACGGGGAAUCAAUGAAUACUUAUUCAAAUUAAAUACAUAUAGCAACUGGUAUUUGUAACCCACAACUUGAGAUAUUCCAUAUCAAACUUCUGAUUCGUAUUCAUCAACACAAACCAGUCGUUAAAUAAGCCUAUUGUGCCUGAGGCAUGUUUAGUUUAAAUUAGUUAGUAUAGAUAUUAUAAUAAUUAAUAGUAUAUUUAUUUUAUUUAUUUCCAGUUACAAGCAUUUAUAUAUUUGUUUCCACACAACAAUAUGGCUUUGGAAAAUGUAUUUUAUAAUAAACUCACAACUAACUGUACACCAUAAAUUUGAGCAUGUUGUGUUGACAAUUACUGUAUGAAUAUGGUAUGGAGUGAAAUGUAAUGAACUAACAACUUGAGAUCAAAAGGUGCAAUGAGGAUAUCACUUCUGACUUCUAUAUAGAAUGGAUUGUUGGAUAAACAUAAAUUUUUUUUUUAUAGUAAGUAAUUCU